AAGAGUGAACUAGCUAACUGAAAUCACAAACAAGCUUUAUAAGCUAUUUGUGAUAAGGUAAGGGAAAAAACUGAUGUUACCUUACUAAAAGUGUUGUCCAAAACUAGUGCCAGAAGACUCGGUAAGACCAGGAACGCAAACGUUAAUCGUCUUAAUCAGGCGUAAAGGGUUCGUAGGCUGCUUUUAAAAUUUUUAUUUAAACAAGCUCUUAUUUUUAAAAAUUAAAUUAAUUUAAUCUUUUAAUAAUAUUAAUAAUAAUAAAUAAGUUAAAUAAAAUAAUAAUAAAAGCUAGAAUCAAAUUUAGGAUAUGAAAAAUGCUUAGUGUAGGGAUGGUAUCCGCAGAUACUAAGUGGAAUACUAAAGGCGAAAGCUUCUAUCUAUUAAUGAUUGACGCUGAGGAACGAAGGUGAGAAUAGGAAAUAGGAUUAGGUACCCAGAUACCUCUCACUGUCAACGAUGAAUGGUAGUUAGUCAGUUUUAAAACAAAUUGGUAACGAUGUUAACGCGAUAACCAUUCCGCCUUGCGAGUACGGUUGCAAAACUGAAACCAAAAAAAUUAGUCGGUCUCGAAGCAAACGAAGUGGAGCAUGUUAUUUAAUU
RNAcentral lists this ribosomal RNA (600 nucleotides) under Amanita flavoconia. Its description in RNAcentral is "partial small subunit ribosomal RNA". It matches the Rfam family "Bacterial small subunit ribosomal RNA", at positions 379 to 951 of the family's 1533-position model. Lineage: Eukaryota; Fungi; Basidiomycota; Agaricomycetes; Agaricales; Amanitaceae. The record is from RNAcentral.